Molecule: transfer RNA, 73 nt
Filed under: Candidatus Portiera aleyrodidarum (primary endosymbiont of Bemisia tabaci)
Lineage: Bacteria; Pseudomonadati; Pseudomonadota; Gammaproteobacteria; Johnevansiales (SeqCode); Johnevansiaceae (SeqCode)
Rfam family: tRNA
About the family: Transfer RNA (tRNA) molecules are approximately 80 nucleotides in length.
Source: Rfam by way of RNAcentral
GGGGCUUUAGCUCAAUUGGUAGAGCGCAACACUGGCAGUGUUGAGGUUAUCGGUUCGAAUCUGAUAAGUUCCA